AAAAAAGAAAGGAAAUAUCUUCCGUUUGGAUGUGAGCGAAACAAAAAAGGCGAGAAAAUAAAGAGGGAAAGGAAAGGUGAAGAAAAAAGAAAGGAAAAAUCUUCCAUAGAAACAAACCUAGUGUUGGGUCUCAAGUCUCAACAAUCCAUCGUCUCUGCUCCAAAGAUCUUGCCUGUAAUUCAGCGUCUCUCUUUAUUACGAAGAAAGAUAUUUGGCUUUGGUUAUUAAUUGAUGCUAUGAGCGAAAUUUAUUGCCAUUUUUGCGAAUUAGGUUUACAUUGAAAUGCUAAGCAGAAUGGCUUUGUUGAGAUUUGGCGAAGGAACUGCUGUUUGACGGAGCUAAUGAAGUUCUUCUUUGAUGCUUUUUCAGCAUGCUUUGUUUGAGACCUCCUCUGCCAAUCAUCUCAAGUAGAUUGGAAGUGACAAAAUUUUCCAAGGAUACUAGCAGUCUGGUGGUAAGCUUAUUUAACCGAUAAUUUUUUUAUAUAUAAUGUUCAUGAAUGAAGGUCUGUUUGAUGGUGGAGCAGUGAGACGACUUCUUGGUUUUGUUUCUACUAAGAUUUCCUGGCACUUGUUAUAGAAUUAUUAGCUACUGUUCAGGUAUGCGCUUUAAAAGGUCCACGACAAAGAUAUCCUCGGGUAUGGAAAUCGAAAAAGAGAAUUGGGACAAUCUCCAAAUCAGCCAAGCUUGUUGAUUGCAUAAAGGGGUUGUCAAAUGUCAAGGAGGAAGUGUAUGGGGCACUUGAUUCCUUUGUUGCUUGGGAAUUGGAGUUCCCUCUAGUUGCUGUUAAGAAAGCAUUGAAGACUCUUGAGAAUGAACAGGAAUGGAAGAGGAUAAUUCAGGUAAUAAAGUGGAUGCUGAGCAAAGGCCAAGGACAGACAAUGGGAACAUACUUCACGUUACUCAAUGCUUUAGCAGAGGAUGGGAGGCUUGAUGAAGCUGAAGAGCUUUGGACAAAAUUAUUUUCAGACAACUUAGAAAGCAUGCCGCGCAUUUUCUUUAAUAAAAUGAUUGCUAUUUAUUACAAGAGGGAUAUGCAUGAGAAGAUGUUCGAGAUAUUUGCUGACAUGGAGGAGCUCGGUGUCCAACCAAAUGUUGCCAUUGUUAAUAUGAUGGGAAGUGCAUUCAAGAAGCUGGGUAUGCUGGACAAAUACGACAAAUUAAAGAAGAAAUAUCCACCACCGAAAUGGGAAUAUCGGUACAUCAAAGGAAAGCGUGUUAGGAUUCGAGCAAAGAAUGUUGAUGAAUUGGAUGCAGCUAAUGAAGAUGUAAACAGGGAUAAGGAAAUUUCCCCCAUUUCAAAUGAAUCGGAUGAAGAAGUGGAUACAAGCUUGCAUGAAGUUAAUGUUGAAGCUACGUGUUCUUGAGCUGUUAGAAGCUUGCCAUUAUUAAUUUGCAUCCUCCUUAUCCACCAGGAUUUAGGUAAAUUUACGGAGAACACAAUCGGGCAUCAAGGGUCGAAAGAGUUCCAUUUAUAUUCUUUCAAUGUGAGAUGAGUAGAUUGUAAACCCUCGCUGGUCUCUAAAGAAACAUGUUUUGUAACGAGUGCGAGGAGUUAAAUUAUGCCGUUCCAUCCUUUAUCUACGAGAAAUUUAGUUGUAUUUGCCUUUUUGAAAAAAACAAAAAUCUAAUUUGCAUAUAAAAAUAUGAAUUUUGAUUUUAAGGGGUUGACGGUUUCCGAUGCUCGUGUUUAUUCGAUGGCUGCUCUCCCGUGGCUUUUUUAAUUAUCUUCUGG
This 1735-nucleotide unclassified non-coding RNA is filed under the name Hevea brasiliensis (rubber tree). Lineage: Eukaryota; Viridiplantae; Streptophyta; Magnoliopsida; Malpighiales; Euphorbiaceae. The record is from RNAcentral.